AUUGAACGCUGGCGGCAGGCCUAACACAUGCAAGUCGAGCGGAUGAAGGGAGCUUGCUCCUGGAUUCAGCGGCGGACGGGUGAGUAAUGCCUAGGAAUCUGCCUGGUAGUGGGGGAUAACGUCCGGAAACGGGCGCUAAUACCGCAUACGUCCUGAGGGAGGAAGUGGGGGAUCUUCGGACCUCACGCUAUCAGAUGAGCCUAGGUCGGAUUAGCUAGUUGGUGGGGUAAAGGCCUACCAAGGCGACGAUCCGUAACUGGUCUGAGAGGAUGAUCAGUCACACUGGAACUGAGACACGGUCCUGACUCCUACGAGAGGCAGCAGUGGGGAAUAUUGGACCAUGGGCGAAAGCCUGAUCCAGCCAUGCCGCGUGUGUGAAGAAGGUCUUCGGAUUGUAAAGCACUUUAAGUUGGGGGGAAGGGCAGUAAGUUAAUACAUUGCUGUUUUGACGUUACCAACAGAAUAAGCACCGGCUAACUUCGUG
RNAcentral lists this ribosomal RNA (484 nucleotides) under uncultured bacterium. RNAcentral's name for it is "partial 16S ribosomal RNA". It matches the Rfam family "Bacterial small subunit ribosomal RNA", at positions 30 to 507 of the family's 1533-position model. The record is from RNAcentral.